This 460-nucleotide ribosomal RNA is filed under the name uncultured bacterium. RNAcentral describes it as "partial 16S ribosomal RNA". It matches the Rfam family "Bacterial small subunit ribosomal RNA", at positions 338 to 795 of the family's 1533-position model. The record is from RNAcentral.
CCUACGGGUGGCAGCAGUGAGGAAUAUUGGUCAAUUGGCGCGAGUCUGAACCAGCCAAGCAGCGUGCAGGAAGACUGCUCUAUGGGUUGUAAACUUCUUUUGUAAAAGAAUAAAGCUGAAUACGUGUAUUUAUCUGAAAGUACUUUACGAAUAAGGAUCGGCUAACUCCGUGCCAGCAGCCGCGGUAAUACGGAGGAUCCAAGCGUUAUCCGGAUUUAUUGGGUUUAAAGGGUGCGUAGGUGGGUUGUUAAGUUAGAUGUGAAAGUUUGGAGCUUAACUGUGGAACUGCCUUUAAUACUGGUGACCUAGAGUGUAGAUGAGGUAGGCGGAAUGCAUGGUGUAGCGGUGAAAUGCUUAGAGAUCAUGAAGAACACCGAUUGCGAAGGCAGCUUACUAAUCUACCUCUGACGUUGAGGCACGAAAGCGUGGGGAGCAAACAGGAUUAGAUACCCCAGUAGUC